CUUACCUGGAUGGGGUCAAUGGGUGAUCAAGAAGGCCCAUGGCCUAGGAAGGUGACCUCCAUUGCACUUAGGAGGGGUGCCUUUCUAAGGUCUACCCAAGUGGUGGAGCCUACAUCAUAAUUUGUUGCUGUGGGGGCCUGCGUUCGCGCGGCCCCCUCCAAUUUUAGUUCAAGUCUUUUGAACUUUCUUUUACCCCGUUUCUAUCAGCCAUGACUCCCAAAAGGGUUCUUCUCCCUUGUGGUGAUUCCAUGGAAGACUAUGAAGUAUGCUUCCCAAAAGGGUCUUCACUCAAUUCACCCAACUCAUUUUGGAAGCAUUAGGUGUCUCCAUCGACGCUGUUUGUCCUGGAAAAAAAUCCGGUGACAUCUGGUGGUGGCCAGGUCUAUGCUUAAAGUUUCUAUAGGUUCUCUCACAUAGUUUCAAAAGCACUUUUGUCAAUAUAUAAACUCAAAUAAGUCAAUCCAAACAACUUUAACUUUUAAAGAAAAAAGCUAAAAGAACUCAAAAACAUCCAAUCAAUACCCUAUCUUGCUCACAACGCUGCUGUUAUGGAGCUAGAGGACAUGCUUGUCAAUUCUGGACAAGAAAUUAUUGCUUGCUUCUGUCAUGGCCAUUUGAUUCUGGCAGCUGCUAAUCUACUUGAAGGUUGCAAGUGCACAGAUUUUCCUCCUCUCAAACCGGUAUUGAUUGCAGCUGGUGCUCAUUGGGUUGAACACUUGUACCUGGCACUAUGUCAACAACUGUAGUGGAUGGUAAUUAUGCUUUAACUGAGACCUUUGAUGAUGUUGAUCCUUCAGGCUACGAUGCUCUUGUCAUCUCUGGAGAUCGAUGACCAGAGUAAUUGUCAAUGAAUGAGGCAGUUAUAGCCUUGGUGAAGCCUUUCAUGGAGAACAAGAAGCCAGUUGCAUCAAUCUGCCAUAGCCAACAUAUUUUAGCUGCUGCUGGUGUUCUGAAGUAUUGAGUAUUGUAACUAGCAUUCUAGCAAGGCUGAGCAAGUCGGAAGUAUAUUUCCAGUAACCCUUUGAAGGAUUCAAAAUAAGGGGAUGUGCAGUGUUACUGUAUUGUAUUUGAAGGACGUGUAAAGUACCAGGCAUGAGAUCACUUUGAGCAAAGCCUCUCUUUUGGUUGAGUUGGAAUUAACGAAGAGUAACCCUCAUCUGGUUUAUUGUUAUCUUUUGGCAAGUCCCUUCACUGCUCCAUAUAAUCAUCGAGCUGAUAGAACCGAAAAGGAGGCAGUGGCAUUAGACGUAGAGGAACCAGUUGAGGUAGAGUGGCCUUCACGAGACCUAAGAUUCGUUUCUACAAACACAGGCAUAGUUGGUUGCAGGUGCUCCGCUAAGCUUCUGGUUUGAAGGAGGACUACAACUUCAGACAUUGUUGGUCUCAUUCCAGCUGAUGCUUGAGUACACAACAGAGCAAUCUCUAUCAUUUUCUUCACUUCUUCUCCAUCAUAGUCAUUAGGGUCUAAGGCCUUGUCCACGAGCUCCAAGUGCAUGCCUCUCUCAUGCAGUUUCCAUGACUGUUAAGUGAAAUUCAAAAACCAUAUGAUAUACUUCAUCCUGUCCUUUUUAUAAGAGACCUUUAUAGUUAUGACUUGUGAGAAUUUUCUUACUUUUUUAAGAAGGUAUUCACCAUCUUCAUCAUCUUCCUUUACUUCGGUACUCUUUCGACCACUUAUGAUUUCUAGGACUACAAUUCCAUAGCUGUAGGUAUCAGCCUUUUCUGAUAAUUGACCAUGGAUUGCAUACUCAGGUGCUGUGUAUCCCCUGACAGUGACAAUUGCAUGUUUGGAAGACUUGUAAGUUAUACAAAGCAUGAGACAUGAAAGUGUGCUUAGAUGAGAACGAUCCCCUGGCAAAAGCCGCGCCAAUCCAAAAUCAGCAAUUUUGGGGUGAAGAUUAUCAUCAAGGAGUAUAUUGCUAGUCUUUAUAUCUCUAUGUAUAAUGGAAAUGUGGAAUUCCUCAUGAAGACAGGCCAGCCCUCUUGCUGUUCCUAAAAUUAUAUCACACCUUUGUUUCCAAUUGAGGGAACCUUGUUUGUUACCUAUUAAAUUAACAAAAUUCAUGUUAGCUUAUUUUAUUAAUCUAUUAGUGCAGGUCAAUAAUAGUUUGACUUUAAAUAAAAAAAAUGGUCGAGUGUGAUGAUUGUUUGAUCUAAUGGUAAUUAAAGUCACCGAGGUUUUAUUUUGAAAUUCAAAAUAAAUUGAAAUACCUCUCCUCUCCCUUUUAUGAAUGGGUAGUUACAGAUUGUAUUA
Molecule: long non-coding RNA, 2254 nt
Organism: Medicago truncatula (barrel medic)
Lineage: Eukaryota; Viridiplantae; Streptophyta; Magnoliopsida; Fabales; Fabaceae
Exons: 4
Source: RefSeq, a predicted model, not a curated record